UUAAUUUUUUGUAAGAUGCUUAAGAAAAAGAACAAAAAUAGGUAAGAUGCUUAACAUUUUCAAAAUUUAAAUUUUAAAAGGAAGGGAAGUGAACACACCACUGCUACUUGGUUAGGAUGGAUAUCAUUUUCGCAAACAGAGUAGAACUGCAUUUGUUUUAAGUAGAGCACUUUAGAGAGAAUCAAGAGUUUGCUACAUACCUAGCCCAUGACUGGACACUAAAGCCAAUAACGAAUUGCCUCAAACUCCGUGGAUGGUUUUGCAGAUGAAAGCUGCUGGAUUUUCCAAAUCACAGCCUAUUGAUUUGAGUCAUUGUGUCUGGCAUAAUGAGGAAUAUGAAUUCAGGAUCAGCAGAUGCCAGUAGCCACCUUCAGGAAAGCCUUUGCCUCACUUAUAGUGAACACGAGAGACUGUAGAAACUGAAACAACGAGAAGUAUCGAUCAGGAAAACAACAUCUUAAUCUAGAGCGAACAUUAAUUAGUUCUGUUACAAAAAUUUUGUUAUUAGGUUAUCCAAACACUCUACAUGUUUCUAUUGCUUUAACAAGAUGCAUGACACAGUUUCCUUCCAUUAUAAUUUAAUUUAGACCUUUUGAUUUAAAUUUAGUGUAGCAUGCACUAUCCAUUGUUAUAGUUUUUUUGAGAUCAGAUUCUUAAUAAAAUUAAAUAAUUUAUCUUAA
Molecule: long non-coding RNA, 680 nt
Organism: Cucumis sativus (cucumber)
Lineage: Eukaryota; Viridiplantae; Streptophyta; Magnoliopsida; Cucurbitales; Cucurbitaceae
Exons: 2
Source: RefSeq, a predicted model, not a curated record